Annulohypoxylon moriforme is the source of this 98-nucleotide non-coding RNA. The record is from the annotation of a GenBank genome assembly. Lineage: Eukaryota; Fungi; Ascomycota; Sordariomycetes; Xylariales; Hypoxylaceae.
UGCCCAUUGGCCCAGUGGUCAAGGCGUCUGACUGUUAAUGUCUAAAAAGAUAUAUCAGAAAAAUCAGAAGAUCCCUGGUUCGACCCCAGGAUGGGCAG